Chenopodium quinoa (quinoa) is the source of this 1148-nucleotide long non-coding RNA. RefSeq lists it as uncharacterized. The record is from RefSeq and is a predicted model, not a curated record. The transcript has 3 exons. Lineage: Eukaryota; Viridiplantae; Streptophyta; Magnoliopsida; Caryophyllales; Amaranthaceae.
GGUAUGGACAUGUGUGUCCAAUACCUGGGGGCAAAAUCGUCAUUUCGUUGAAAAAUCUUGCAGUAAGUCAUAACUUGUUACUGACUGUAAAAAAGCUCUCUCUUAUCUCCAUUCAUAGUUACUGCUGUAAAAAAAAACUCUCUCUAAGGUUCCCCACCGGAAAUCUCUCGCCGGAAAAAAUUGCGAAAACCUAGCUAAAGAGCUGUGGAAAUUAUCGAAUUUUGUCGAGUUUGUUGAUGUUGGUUGAGUUCAUCCUGGUGUAAGUCUCCAAUUUUGGUAAAAGUAGUUGUGAAAAGCUGAAUCGUAGUGUUUCGUAAGGUGUUGUGGCUAAGUUUGAACUUUCCGUUUGUGAGUAAAGAUCGAAGGUGUUGAAGUAAACUAAGCCUAUUACGAUGUCAAGUCGAAGGGGUGGAAGGGGCGGAAGGGAGGUCGAAGGACGUGCGAUUGUUGAAAAGGUUAGUUUAUUUGUUCAAAUUUUUGGGUGAAAGGACGGCGAUGGAGCGGUGUUGUAUUAAAGGGAAUUCAAAGAGGACCACAAUCUAGUAGACUGGAGCUUCAAACUGAGUUGAUUAUCGCCAACACAAAUCAAGAUCUAUCUAAUUGUGUGUUAAGAGUUUAAGUGAGGAAUAAUGAACUUUUAUGGGGUCCGGAGCAAUUGAAGUUCAAUUAAAACCAUUUGAAAAUAUUACAUGACAAAUCAUGUAGUUUUUUUGUUACAUUAUUAUUAUUUAUUUUUUUAUUUAAUUUUUUUUUUUUGGGUGGUAAGAUCAAGAGUUUAUGAUAUGAAAUUGUCUAAUCUAAUGUAAACUUUUUUUUUGUGAUCUAAAAGUCCUAAAGUAUUUGGCCAAAAACUUUUAUUUUACUGUACUUAAAUGUAUAAUCAAUUAAUGUUACAAUUUUUUUUCAUUCAUGUUACUCUCCAAACAAUUUGGAGGGUUGCCCAAUUCCUAGUCGUGGUACUCGUUGAAAUCGUUUUAAUACAUAGCUUAUUAAUGUUCAAUUAUUAUUAUUUAUAGGGUUGAGCAAAAAUUCUGGAUACCCGGAAUUGGAAUCGGAACUGGUUGGGAAUCGAUGGGUUCGAAAUUAGAUUGGAUUCGAUGGUUCCAAUUUUGGGUGAUAAAUUAAGGAACCAAUUGUAACCGGUUUCA